CUUCGGUGAUGAUACGAUGACGAGUCGGAACGGGUCUCUGUCUCGUUUUGGUGGCUGGUUCAGAUUCACGUUCUGUGGUUCUGCUCCAGUUCAUCAGGACAGCGAGGCCCCUUCGCUUGAAGACAUUGAGGCAUUUGUCUGAGAAGG
Molecule: small nucleolar RNA, 147 nt
Organism: Cyprinodon variegatus (sheepshead minnow)
Lineage: Eukaryota; Metazoa; Chordata; Actinopteri; Cyprinodontiformes; Cyprinodontidae
Source: Ensembl